AUUGAACGCUGGCGGCAGGCCUAACACAUGCAAGUCGAACGGUAACAGGAAGAAGCUUGCUUAUUUGCUGACGAGUGGCGGACGGGUGAGUAAUGUCUGGGAAACUGCCUGAUGGAGGGGGAUAACUACUGGAAACGGUAGCUAAUACCGCAUAACGUCGCAAGACCAAAGAGGGGGACCUUCGGGCCUCUUGCCAUCGGAUGUGCCCAGGUGGGGUUAGCUAGUAGGUGCGGUAACGGCUCACCUAGGCGACUAUCCCUAGCUGGUCUGAGUGCAUGACCAGAAAAUCAGGAACUGAGAAACGAUCCAGACACCUACAGGAGGCAGCAGUGGGGAAUAUAGCACAAUGGGGGCAAGACUGAUGCAGCCAUGCCGCGUGUAUGAAGAAGGCCUUCGUGUUGUAAAGUACUUUCAGCGGGGAGGAAGGGAGUAAAGUUAAUCCCUUUGCUCAUUGACGUUACCCGCAGAAGAAGCACCGGCUAACUCCGU
RNAcentral lists this ribosomal RNA (489 nucleotides) under uncultured bacterium. RNAcentral's name for it is "partial 16S ribosomal RNA". It matches the Rfam family "Bacterial small subunit ribosomal RNA", at positions 30 to 506 of the family's 1533-position model. The record is from RNAcentral.